GACAGAGGGGGCAAGCGUUGCUCGGAAUUACUGGGCGUAAAGGGCGCGUAGGCGGGAUGGCAAGUCGGUCGUGAAAUCCCUCGGCUCAACUGAGGAUCGUCGAUCGAUACUGCCGUUCUUGAGGAUUGCAGAGGAGACUGGAAUUCCCAGUGUAGCGGUGAAAUGUGUAGAGAUCGGGAGGAACACCGGUGGCGAAGGCGGGUCUCUGGGCAAUUCCUGACGCUGAGGCGCGAAAGCGUGGGGAGCAAACGGG
This 253-nucleotide ribosomal RNA is filed under the name uncultured bacterium. RNAcentral describes it as "partial 16S ribosomal RNA". It matches the Rfam family "Bacterial small subunit ribosomal RNA", at positions 524 to 776 of the family's 1533-position model. The record is from RNAcentral.